Numida meleagris (helmeted guineafowl) is the source of this 591-nucleotide long non-coding RNA. RefSeq lists it as uncharacterized. The record is from RefSeq and is a predicted model, not a curated record. NCBI's taxonomy places the organism in Eukaryota, Metazoa, Chordata, Aves, Galliformes, Numididae. The transcript is spliced from 4 exons.
AGCAAAGGAUGUUUGGGAUGUUUGGAUGUUAGGAAACCUUCCUAAUAAGGGUGACGCACCAUCUCGGUUCCUGGCACACCAGGUGAUUCAUGUGGUUCAUAAAUAACCAUUGAUCCACCCAAGGAGUUCCUGGAGCUCAGAUCCAGCCUCACAAAGGGUGGCCAGCUCGUUCCCUCUGUUUCAUGUUCAGAAUAUUUGUUCUUUUGCCACCAUCUCCCCUUGGUGGCUCAUCUAUACACACAAGACAAUGUCUGCUGUGUGCCUUCACACAGUACUGGUAUCAUCACCAUGUCAGCAGUUAGUUAACAAGACAGCAGUGAUGAUCAUGAUGACAUCAGUGCUGUUGUGUAAGCGCAUUAUAAAACAGAACAAAAUAAAACUACUUAUUCAGAAAAUCAAAAACAUCUGAAGACCAGAAAGAAUAAGAACAUGGGGACAAUGGCUGAGGAUAUCCAGAUUUUUAUUCAAACAGAGCUCUGCCUUCAAUCUGAAUCAUCUUCAGGAAGAGGAAUAUGCUUAAAAAAAAAAAAUCACCUGUCAGUUGUCUGAUGCUAUCCAGGUGUGUAUUUGAUUUUAUUCUCAUAGCAACAC